RNAcentral lists this transfer RNA (70 nucleotides) under Aulichthys japonicus (tubenose). Its description in RNAcentral is "tRNA-Ile". It matches the Rfam family "tRNA". From Rfam's summary of the family: Transfer RNA (tRNA) molecules are approximately 80 nucleotides in length. Their secondary structure includes four short double-helical elements and three loops (D, anti-codon, and T loops). Further hydrogen bonds mediate the characteristic L-shaped molecular structure. tRNAs have two regions of fundamental functional importance: the anti-codon, which is responsible for specific mRNA codon recognition, and the 3' end, to which the tRNAs corresponding amino acid is attached (by aminoacyl-tRNA synthetases). tRNAs cope with the degeneracy of the genetic code in two manners: having more than one tRNA (with a specific anti-codon) for a particular amino acid; and 'wobble' base-pairing, i.e. permitting non-standard base-pairing at the 3rd anti-codon position. Lineage: Eukaryota; Metazoa; Chordata; Actinopteri; Perciformes; Aulorhynchidae. The record is from RNAcentral.
GGAGUCGAGCCUGAAUUAAAGGACCACUUUGAUAGAGAGAAUUAUGGGGGUUAAAGUCCCCCCGACUCCU